GCCAGACUCCUACGGGAGGCAGCAGUCGGGAAUAUUGCGCAAUGGAGGAAACUCUGACGCAGUGACGCCGCGUAUAGGAAGAAGGUUUUCGGAUUGUAAACUAUUGUCGUUAGGGAAGAUAAAAGACAGUACCUAAGGAGGAAGCUCCGGCUAACUACGUGCCAGCAGCCGCGGUAAUACGGAGGAUGCGAGCGUUAUCCGGAUUUAUUGGGUUUAAAGGGUGCGUAGGCGGGACGGUAAGUCAGCGGUAAAAAUGCGGAGCUCAACUCCGUCGAGCCGUUGAAACUGGCGGGCUGGAGUUGGAGAGAAGUACGCGGAAUGCGCGGUGUAGCGGUGAAAUGCUUAGAUAUCGCGCAGAACCCCGAUUGCGAAGGCAGCGUACCGGCUCCACACUGACGCUGAGGCACGAAAGCGUGGGUAUCGAACAGGAUUAGAUACCCUCGUAC
RNAcentral lists this ribosomal RNA (446 nucleotides) under uncultured bacterium. Its description in RNAcentral is "bacterial SSU rRNA". It matches the Rfam family "Bacterial small subunit ribosomal RNA", at positions 330 to 793 of the family's 1533-position model. The record is from RNAcentral.